GGGGCUGAUUCUGGAUUCGACGGGAUUUGCGAAACCCAAGGUGCAUGCCGAGGGGCGGUUGGCCUCGUAAAAAGCCGCAAAAAAUAGUCGCAAACGACAAAAACUACGCUUUAGCAGCUUAAUAACCUGCUUAGAGCCCUCUCUCCCUAGCCUCCGCUCUUAGGACGGGGAUCAAGAGAGGUCAAACCCAAAAGAGAUCGCGUGGAAGCCCUGCCUAGGGUUGAAGCGUUAAAACUUAAUCAGGCUAGUUUGUUAGUGGCGUGUCCGUCCGCAGCUGGCAAGCGAAUGUAAAGACUGACUAAGCAUGUAGUACCGAGGAUGUAGGAAUUUCGGACGCGGGUUCAACUCCCGCCAGCUCCACCA
Molecule: transfer-messenger RNA, 363 nt
Filed under: Escherichia coli
Lineage: Bacteria; Pseudomonadati; Pseudomonadota; Gammaproteobacteria; Enterobacterales; Enterobacteriaceae
Rfam family: transfer-messenger RNA
About the family: Bacterial tmRNA, also known as 10Sa RNA or SsrA, is named for its dual tRNA and mRNA-like properties. Its role is to liberate the mRNA from a stalled ribosome. To accomplish this part of the tmRNA is used as a reading frame that ends in a translation stop signal.
Source: RNAcentral